This 250-nucleotide ribosomal RNA is filed under the name uncultured prokaryote. RNAcentral describes it as "partial 16S ribosomal RNA". It matches the Rfam family "Bacterial small subunit ribosomal RNA", at positions 524 to 773 of the family's 1533-position model. The record is from RNAcentral.
UACGAGGGGUGCAAGCGUUGUCCGGAAUUACUGGGUGUAAAGGGAGCGCAGGCGGGAAGGCAAGUCAGUGGUGAAAUGCAUGGGCUUAACCCAUGAACUGCCAUUGAAACUGUUUUUCUUGAGUGGAGUAGAGGUUAGCGGAAUUCCUAGUGUAGCGGUGAAAUGCGUAGAUAUUAGGAGGAACAUCAGUGGCGAAGGCGGCUAACUGGGCUCUAACUGACGCUGAGGCUCGAAAGUGUGGGGAGCAAAC